Molecule: ribosomal RNA, 744 nt
Filed under: uncultured Staphylococcus sp.
Lineage: Bacteria; Bacillati; Bacillota; Bacilli; Caryophanales; Staphylococcaceae
Description: bacterial SSU rRNA
Rfam family: Bacterial small subunit ribosomal RNA
Source: RNAcentral
GCCUAAUACAUGCAAGUCGAGCGAACGGACGAGAAGCUUGCUUCUCUGAUGUUAGCGGCGGACGGGUGAGUAACACGUGGAUAACCUACCUAUAAGACUGGGAUAACUUCGGGAAACCGGAGCUAAUACCGGAUAAUAUUUUGAACCGCAUGGUUCAAAAGUGAAAGACGGUCUUGCUGUCACUUAUAGAUGGAUCCGCGCUGCAUUAGCUAGUUGGUAAGGUAACGGCUUACCAAGGCAACGAUGCAUAGCCGACCUGAGAGGGUGAUCGGCCACACUGGAACUGAGACACGGUCCAGACUCCUACGGGAGGCAGCAGUAGGGAAUCUUCCGCAAUGGGCGAAAGCCUGACGGAGCAACGCCGCGUGAGUGAUGAAGGUCUUCGGAUCGUAAAACUCUGUUAUUAGGGAAGAACAUAUGUGUAAGUAACUGUGCACAUCUUGACGGUACCUAAUCAGAAAGCCACGGCUAACUAUGUGCCAGCAGCCGCGGUAAUACGUAGGUGGCAAGCGUUAUCCGGAAUUAUUGGGCGUAAAGCGCGCGUAGGCGGUUUUUUAAGUCUGAUGUGAAAGCCCACGGCUCAACCGUGGAGGGUCAUUGGAAACUGGAAAACUUGAGUGCAGAAGAGGAAAGUGGAAUUCCAUGUGUAGCGGUGAAAUGCGCAGAGAUAUGGAGGAACACCAGUGGCGAAGGCGACUUUCUGGUCUGUAACUGACGCUGAUGUGCGAAAGCGUGGGGAUCAAA